AUUGAACGCUGGCGGCAGGCCUAACACAUGCAAGUCGAGCGGAUGAAGGGAGCUUGCUCCUGGAUUCAGCGGCGGACGGGUGAGUAAUGCCUAGGAAUCUGCCUGGUAGUGGGGGAUAACGUCCGGAAACGGGCGCUAAUACCGCAUACGUCCUGAGGGAGAAAGUGGGGGAUCUUCGGACCUCACGCUAUCAGAUGAGCCUAGGUCGGAUUAGCUAGUUGGUGGGGUAAAGGCCUACCAAGGCGACGAUCCGUAACUGGUCUGAGAGGAUGAUCAGUCACACUGGAACUGAGACACGGUCCAGACUCCUACGGGAGGCAGCAGUAGGGAAUAUUGGACAAUGGGCGAAAGCCUGAUCCAGCCAUGCCGCGUGUGUGAAGAAGGUCUUCGGAUUGUAAAGCUCUUUAAGUUGGGAGGAAGGGCAGUAAGUUAAUACCUGGCUGUUUUGACGUUACCUACAGAAUAAGCACCGGCUAACUUCGUG
RNAcentral lists this ribosomal RNA (484 nucleotides) under uncultured bacterium. RNAcentral describes it as "partial 16S ribosomal RNA". It matches the Rfam family "Bacterial small subunit ribosomal RNA", at positions 30 to 507 of the family's 1533-position model. The record is from RNAcentral.